Molecule: long non-coding RNA, 151 nt
Organism: Solanum tuberosum (potato)
Lineage: Eukaryota; Viridiplantae; Streptophyta; Magnoliopsida; Solanales; Solanaceae
Exons: 3
Source: RefSeq, a predicted model, not a curated record
UCACAAAAUUGCCGGCUGUUUUUGCUAUCGUAGUUAAGUAUCAGAUGCAAAGAUAGGAUCUUCACAAUGGAUGUUGGAAACGGUAACCCAAUUUCAUCAAUAUGUUUCAAUUUAGGUGUUUCUGCAUUUUACGGGCUAGCUAGCAACGGUA